Non-coding RNA from Phyllostomus hastatus (greater spear-nosed bat), 403 nucleotides. Lineage: Eukaryota; Metazoa; Chordata; Mammalia; Chiroptera; Phyllostomidae. The record is from the annotation of a RefSeq genome assembly.
ACCCUCCCCUACAGAAAACCUGACAGCACAGCCCCUCACCAUGGACUGGAGCUGGAGAGCCCUCUUCCUGGUGGCAGUGGCUACAGGUGUCCACUCCCAGGUGCAGCUGGUACAGUCUGGGGCUGAGGUGAGGAAGCCUGGGGCCUCAGUGAAGAUCCCCUGCAAGGCUUCUGGAUACACCUUCACCAGCUAUAGUAUGAACUGGGUACAGCAGGCCCCAGCAGGAGCUCUUCAAUAUGUGGGUUGGAUCAACACAGAAACUGGGAAGCCCACAUAUGCUCAGGGCUUCUCAGAACGCUUUGUGUUCUCCAUGGACGCCUCUGUCAGCACUGCCUAUAUGCAGAUCAAUGGCCUGAAGUCUGAGGACACAGCUGUGUAUUACUGUGCAAGAGACACAGUGUGA